This 66-nucleotide transfer RNA is filed under the name Paranephrops planifrons. RNAcentral describes it as "tRNA-Ser". Lineage: Eukaryota; Metazoa; Arthropoda; Malacostraca; Decapoda; Parastacidae. The record is from RNAcentral.
GAUGAUUUAGUUUAUAAAAAACUAAUGUUUUGAAAACAUUAAAAAGAACCAUAAUUCUAAUCAUUA